GAUGAACGCUGGCGGCGUGCCUAAUACAUGCAAGUCGAGCGAAAGGACGAGAAGCUUGCUUCUCUGAUGUUAGCGGCGCACGGGAGAGUAACACGAGGAUAACCUACCUAUAAGACUGGGAUAAUCUCGGGAAAGCGGAGCUAAUACCGGAGAAUAUUCUGAUCCUUAUGGGUAAAAGGAGAAAUCCGGUCUUGCGGUCACUAAUCGAAGGAUCCGCGCUGCUUUAGGUCGUUGGUAAGGCAACGGCGUACCAAGGCAACGAUGCAUAGCCGACAUGAGAGGGUGAUCGGCCAGACUGGAGCGAUGACGCGGUACAGGCUCCUUCAGGAGGCAGCAGUAGGGAAUCUUGCGCAAUGGGCGAAAACCAGACGAAGCAACGCCGAGUGUGGUGUGAAGGUCGUCGGAUCGUAAAAGUCUGUUAUGAGGGAGGAACAUGUGUGUAAGUAUCUGUGCGCUUCUGGACGGUACCUGAUCAAAGAGGCACGGGUUACUACGUG
RNAcentral lists this ribosomal RNA (497 nucleotides) under uncultured bacterium. Its description in RNAcentral is "partial 16S ribosomal RNA". It matches the Rfam family "Bacterial small subunit ribosomal RNA", at positions 28 to 507 of the family's 1533-position model. The record is from RNAcentral.